UUCAGGCGCAUUGAAGAAGAGGUCAGUGGUGCAGUGAUGGAAGACGGGUGCAGUGUGGAUCUGCUCGGGAACGCGGCCUAAAAGGUAGAACUGAUGGGUUACGUUUGAAAGGACUGAGUUACAAACUUUAAGAAGUGUCAUCAUUCGCGCUGACGAAGGAUCGGUGUAGCGACGCUAGUACUUUUACUUAAAGAAACUACAGGUGAUCUGGAACCAGUGUAUGUUGACGGCAACUCUUUCAAGCAAACAUCUUUUAUGUGUAACCCGUGCAACUUAUACUUUUCAACUGGGAAAAAUU
RNAcentral lists this long non-coding RNA (298 nucleotides) under Stegodyphus dumicola. RNAcentral describes it as "uncharacterized LOC118198411, transcript variant X2". The record is from RNAcentral. Lineage: Eukaryota; Metazoa; Arthropoda; Arachnida; Araneae; Eresidae.